GACGAACGCUGGCGGCGUGCCUAAUACAUGCAAGUCGAGCGGACAGACGGGAGCUUGCUCCCUGAUGUUAGCGGCGGACGGGUGAGUAACACGUGGGUAACCUGCCUGUAAGACUGGGAUAACUCCGGGAAACCGGGGCUAAUACCGGAUGGUUGUCUGAACCGCAUGGUUCAGACAUAAAAGGUGGCUUCGGCUACCACUUACAGAUGGACCCGCGGCGCAUUAGCUAGUUGGUGAGGUACCGGCGCACCAAGGCAAGGAUGCGUAGCCGACCGGAGAGGAUGAUCGGCCGCCCUGGGAGGGAGACACGGCCCAGACGCCUACGGGAGGGAGCAGUAGGGAAUCUUCCGCAAUGGGCGAAAGUCUGACGGAGCAACGCCGCGGGAGGGAGGAAGGUUUUCGGAUCGUAAAGCUCUGUUGUUAGGGAAGAACAAGUGCCGUUCAAAUAGGGCGGCACCUUGACGGUACCUAACCAGAAAGCCACGGCUAACUACGUG
Molecule: ribosomal RNA, 497 nt
Filed under: uncultured bacterium
Lineage: Bacteria
Description: partial 16S ribosomal RNA
Rfam family: Bacterial small subunit ribosomal RNA
Source: RNAcentral